GACGAACGCUGGCGGCGUGCUUAACACAUGCAAGUCGUACGGUAAGGCCCUUUCGGGGGUACACGAGUGGCGAACGGGUGAGUAACACGUGAGUAACCUGCCCACAACUUUGGGAUAACGCUAGGAAACUGGUGCUAAUACUGGAUAUGUGCUCCUGCUGCAUGGUGGGGGUUGGAAAGCUCCGGCGGUUGUGGAUGGACUCGCGGCCUAUCAGCUUGUUGGUGGGGUAGUGGCCUACCAAGGCGGCGACGGGUAGCCGGCCUGAGGGGGUGACCGGCCACAUUGGGACUGAGAUACGGCCCAGACUCCUACGGGAGGCAGCAGGGGGGAAUAUUGCACAAUGGGCGCAAGCCUGAUGCAGCAACGCCGCGUGCGGGAUGACGGCCUUCGGGUUGUAAACCGCUUUCAGCAGGGACGAAGCUUUUUGUGACGGUACCUGCAGAAGAAGCACCGGCUAACUACGUG
This 465-nucleotide ribosomal RNA is filed under the name uncultured bacterium. RNAcentral's name for it is "partial 16S ribosomal RNA". It matches the Rfam family "Bacterial small subunit ribosomal RNA", at positions 28 to 507 of the family's 1533-position model. The record is from RNAcentral.